Molecule: transfer RNA, 66 nt
Filed under: Turritella bacillum
Lineage: Eukaryota; Metazoa; Mollusca; Gastropoda; Turritellidae
Description: tRNA-Asp
Source: RNAcentral
AGAGAAUUAGUUAAAAGAUAAUGUGAGGUUGUCAACUUCAAGUUACUAAGAAUUUAGUAUUUUCUA